This 1496-nucleotide ribosomal RNA is filed under the name uncultured bacterium. RNAcentral's name for it is "partial 16S ribosomal RNA". It matches the Rfam family "Bacterial small subunit ribosomal RNA". The record is from RNAcentral.
AGAGUUUGAUCCUGGCUCAGAAUGAACGCUGGCGGCGUGCCUAACACAUGCAAGUCGAACGGGAAUUAUUUGCGAUUACAUCAAGAGUAAUUCUAGUGGCAGACGGGUGAGUAAUACAUGGGUGAUCUGCCUCUGGGAGGAAAAUAACUCGCCGAAAGGCGAGCUAAUGUUCCAUAAGAUCACAAUUCUUCCUCAGAAGAAUAGGGAUUAAAGCUCCGCAAGGGGCACCUGGAGAUGAGCCCGUGGCCUAUCAGCUAGUUGGUGAGGUAAUGGCUCACCAAGGCUAAGACGGGUAUCCGACCUGAAAGGGUGACCGGACACACUGGAACUGAGACACGGUCCAGACUCCUACGGGAGGCAGCAGUGGGGAAUUUUGGACAAUGGGGGCAACCCUGAUCCAGCAACGCCGCGUGAAGGAUGAAGGUCUUCGGAUUGUAAACUUCUUUUGUAGGGGACGAAACAUUCGUUGAAUAAACGAAAUUGACGGUACUCUAUGAAUAAGCCACGGCUAACUUCGUGCCAGCAGCCGCGGUAAUACGAAGGUGGCGAGCGUUAUUCGGAAUUACUAGGCGUAAAGCGCAGGUAGGUGGUUAGGUAAGUUCAUGAUGAAAUCUCCCGGCUUAACCGGGAGGGGUUUAUGAAUACUGCUUGGCUUGAGUGUGGGAGAGGGUGCUGGAAUUCCAGGUGUAGCGGUGAAAUGCGUAGAUAUCCGGAGGAACCCCAGAGGCGAAGGCGGCGCCUGGCUCACAACCGACGCUCAGACACGAUAGCAUGGGUAGCGAACGGGAUUAGAAACCCCGGUAGUCCAUGCCGUAAACGAUGCAUGCUAGGCGCUGGGGGACUGACCCCUUCAGUGCCGUAGGUAACCUGAUAAGCAUGCCGCCUGGGGAGUACGACCGCAAGGUUAAAACUCAAAGGAAUUGACGGGGGCCCGCACAAGCAGCGGAGCGUGUGGUUUAAUUCGAGGCUACACGAAGAACCUUACCUGGGUUUGACAUGGCGUUGAACGAGGGUGAAAGCCUGAGGUCCGCAAGGCAGCGUCACAGGUGCUGCAUGGCUGUCGUCAGCUCGUGCCGUGAGGUGUUCGGUUAAGUCCGCAAACGAGCGCAACCCUCGGUGCUAGUUACAAGUGUCUAGCACUACUGCCCGUGACAAGCGGGAGGAAGGUGGGGAUGACGUCAAGUCAGCAUGGCCUUUAUAUCCAGGGCUACACACACGCUACAAUGGUCGGUACAAUGGGUGGCCAAGCCGCAAGGCGGAGCAAAUCCUCCAAAGCCGAUCUCAGUUCGAAUUGUGGGCUGCAACCCGCCCACAUGGAGCUGGAGUUGCUAGUAACCGCGCGUCAGCCAUAGUGCGGUGAAUACGUUCCCGGGCCUUGUACACACCGCCCGUCACGUCACGGGAGCUGGUCACGCCUGAAGUCGGUGGGCUAACCGCAAGGGGGCAACCGCCGAGGGCAGGGCUGGUGACUGGGACGAAGUCGUAACAAGGUAACC